CCUACGGGUGUCAGCAGUGGGGAAUAUUGGACAAUGGGCGAAAGCCUGAUCCAGCCAUGCCGCGUGUGUGAAGAAGGCCUUCGGGUUGUAAAGCACUUUCAGUGGGGAAGAAAGCCUUGGGGCUAAUACCCUCGAGGAAGGACAUCACCCACAGAAGAAGCACCGGCUAACUCCGUGCCAGCAGCCGCGGUAAUACGGAGGGUGCGAGCGUUAAUCGGAAUUACUGGGCGUAAAGCGCGCGUAGGCGGUCUGAUAAGCCGGUUGUGAAAGCCCCGGGCUCAACCUGGGAAUGGCAUCCGGAACUGUCAGGCUAGAGUGCAGGAGAGGAAGGUAGAAUUCCCGGUGUAGCGGUGAAAUGCGUAGAGAUCGGGAGGAAUACCAGUGGCGAAGGCGGCCUUCUGGACUGACACUGACGCUGAGGUGCGAAAGCGUGGGUAGCAAACAGGAUUAGAUACCCCAGUAGUC
This 465-nucleotide ribosomal RNA is filed under the name Vreelandella stevensii. RNAcentral's name for it is "partial 16S ribosomal RNA". It matches the Rfam family "Bacterial small subunit ribosomal RNA", at positions 338 to 795 of the family's 1533-position model. The record is from RNAcentral. Lineage: Bacteria; Pseudomonadati; Pseudomonadota; Gammaproteobacteria; Oceanospirillales; Halomonadaceae.